GGAGUUCCUGACUUUAUUGAAGAUGGAACCUUGUUUUUUCACCAGUUUUUCUGUAUACUGUUUUCUCCAUAGCUGAUGGGAGGUACAACAGUCAUGAGAGAGGCAGUGUAAACCACCUGGCCCUCUGCAUCACAGUGUGCAGGCCUGAACGUCAGAAGAGUCUCGUCUCGUAAAGCAUGAGGUGCAAAUCAAUGUGCGAAGCAGGAUAUCCACACCAGAAUGGACUUAAGCAAGGUG
This is a long non-coding RNA of Grus americana (Whooping crane), 237 nucleotides long. RefSeq lists it as uncharacterized. The record is from RefSeq and is a predicted model, not a curated record. The transcript has 3 exons. Lineage: Eukaryota; Metazoa; Chordata; Aves; Gruiformes; Gruidae.